GUAUUGGUGAUUUAGUGGUACAAUUCUCGCCUCCCAUGCGGGAGACCUGGGUUCGAUUCCCGGCCAAUGCA
This is a non-coding RNA of Danio rerio (zebrafish), 71 nucleotides long. NCBI's taxonomy places the organism in Eukaryota, Metazoa, Chordata, Actinopteri, Cypriniformes, Danionidae. The record is from Rfam.